UACGAAGGGGGCUAGCGUUGCUCGGAAUCACUGGGCGUAAAGCGCACGUAGGCGGAUUGUUAAGUCAGGGGUGAAAUCCUGGAGCUCAACUCCAGAACUGCCUUUGAUACUGGAGAGCUUGAGUCCGGAAGAGGUGAGUGGAACUCCGAGUGUAGAGGUGAAAUUCGUAGAUAUUGGGAAGAACACCGGUGGCGUAGGCGGCGACCUGGUCCUUUACUGACGCUGAGGCGCGAAAGCGUGGGGAGCAAACAGG
RNAcentral lists this ribosomal RNA (253 nucleotides) under uncultured bacterium. Its description in RNAcentral is "partial 16S ribosomal RNA". It matches the Rfam family "Bacterial small subunit ribosomal RNA", at positions 524 to 776 of the family's 1533-position model. The record is from RNAcentral.